This is a non-coding RNA of Pelobates cultripes (western spadefoot toad), 432 nucleotides long. The record is from the annotation of a GenBank genome assembly. Lineage: Eukaryota; Metazoa; Chordata; Amphibia; Anura; Pelobatidae.
AAAACUGUUUUAUUUAGCUAAAGUAAUUUAGGUGACUAUAGUGUUCCUUUAAGAAAAACAAAAGUGUAAAAUGAACAAUAGAAAACAUGACAUAAGCCAAGAAAAAACAAAACAGUUCAAUAGUAUAAGGUGACUCUCACCCAAUAUAGGGGUUACAUGUACAGGUUUGCUAAAAAAUGUCCUUUGUUUAGUUCGCAGAGGAGUAAGAAUUUCAAGGCUUCAAGAUUUUGGUAUCAGCGUCCUGAAUGCAGAAAUGGCGCCCCGGGAUGGCAACCAGGUGCCGAUCACAUGAGUGCUCAAGAUAAUGUUAGAGGUGGUUAGGUAAAGGAUAAAAAGGGUUAGAUUACAUAGGGCGUUUAGUGUUAAUAAUAUUAACAGUUCGAGAAGGUUCAAAGUUGUCGUAUAAGGCUUUUUAGGGUUAUUGAGUUGAGG